Molecule: ribosomal RNA, 265 nt
Filed under: uncultured Gammaproteobacteria bacterium
Lineage: Bacteria; Pseudomonadati; Pseudomonadota; Gammaproteobacteria
Description: partial 16S ribosomal RNA
Rfam family: Bacterial small subunit ribosomal RNA
Source: RNAcentral
GUGCCAGCAGCGGCGGUAAUACGGAGGGUGCAAGCGUUAAUCGGAAUUACUGGGCGUAAAGCGCACGCAGGCGGUCUGUCAAGUCGGAUGUGAAAUCCCCGGGCUCAACCUGGGAACUGCAUUCGAAACUGGCAGGCUAGAGUCUUGUAGAGGGGGUAGAAUUCCAGGUGUAGCGGUGAAAUGCGUAGAGAUCUGGAGGAAUCCGGUGCGAAGGCGGCCCCUGGACAAAGACUGACGCUCAGGUGACGAAAGCGUGGGAGCAAAC